Molecule: ribosomal RNA, 253 nt
Filed under: uncultured bacterium
Lineage: Bacteria
Description: partial 16S ribosomal RNA
Rfam family: Bacterial small subunit ribosomal RNA
Source: RNAcentral
UACGGGGGGGGCAAGCGUUGUUCGGAAUUACUGGGCGUAAAGGGCUCGUAGGCGGCCAACUAAGUCAGACGUGAAAUCCCUCGGCUUAACCGGGGAACUGCAUCUGAUACUGGAUGGCUUGAGAUUGGGAGAGGGAUGCGGAAUUCCAGGUGUAGCGGUGAAAUGCGUAGAUAUCUGGAGGAACACCGGUGGCGAAGGCGGCAUCCUGGACCAACACUGACGCUGAGGCACGAAAGCUAGGGGAGCAAACAGG